AACAACACGAUGGGGCGAUACCCCGCAA
This 28-nucleotide small RNA is filed under the name Bombyx mori (domestic silkworm). RNAcentral describes it as "ovarian small RNA-10193". The record is from RNAcentral. Lineage: Eukaryota; Metazoa; Arthropoda; Insecta; Lepidoptera; Bombycidae.